Molecule: ribosomal RNA, 253 nt
Filed under: uncultured bacterium
Lineage: Bacteria
Description: partial 16S ribosomal RNA
Rfam family: Bacterial small subunit ribosomal RNA
Source: RNAcentral
UACGUAGGGGGCAAGCGUUGUCCGGAAUUAUUGGGCGUAAAGCGCGCGCAGGUGGUUUCUUAAGUCUGAUGUGAAAGCCCACGGCUCAACCGUGGAGGGUCAUUGGAAACUGGGGAACUUGAGUGCAGGAGAGAAGAGUGGAAUUCCACGUGUAGCGGUGAAAUGCGUAGAGAUCCGGAGGAACACCGAAGGCGAAGGCAGUGUCCUGGCGAGUGACUGACGCUGAGGUGCGAAAGCCAGGGGAGCGAACGGG